RNAcentral lists this long non-coding RNA (319 nucleotides) under Ooceraea biroi (clonal raider ant). RNAcentral describes it as "uncharacterized LOC105286934, transcript variant X3". The record is from RNAcentral. Lineage: Eukaryota; Metazoa; Arthropoda; Insecta; Hymenoptera; Formicidae.
UUUGAAGUAACAACUUAGUAUCAAUUAAUUGCUGUAUAAGAACAAAUAAUAUUAUUUCAGAGAUAUGAUGCUUUAUGCACUUCUGUGAGAAAUGGUAUAGAAGGUGAAAGAUAUUUAGAAUGAAUGAUAACUGAACGAACUAAAAUAGUAAUUCAUAUGUUCUAUGUAAAACAUCGGGAGGAAGAUUUUCGUAUUGCUAUGCAUUGCUGUGUGAGGACAUUGGUACUACAUUGGGGAAAAAUUCUUCGCAGUAUGAAAAAAGUAACUGACAUUCCACUGAAUAGUUGGAAAGUAAAUCUGGGCAAUUCACAUCUUUCAG